RNAcentral lists this long non-coding RNA (210 nucleotides) under Medicago truncatula (barrel medic). Its description in RNAcentral is "long non-coding RNA (MTRU_LNC000061)". Lineage: Eukaryota; Viridiplantae; Streptophyta; Magnoliopsida; Fabales; Fabaceae. The record is from RNAcentral.
UAGAAUUGGUUCAUCCAAGAACCUAGAAGAGCAAUUCUAACUCUCCCUUCAAUCAAAGAUUGAAAAUAUCAAAUUGUAUUAACCUCCCUCAAAAUGAUAACAAAGUUGUUAUUUAUACCUACUCAUUGGCCAUCACCUAUAAGGCCCAAUAAGGAACUAGAAAAACAAGGAGCAUUAUACAACUCCAAAUUAAAAGUAAUCUAAAUUUUA